Molecule: long non-coding RNA, 206 nt
Filed under: Bos taurus (domestic cattle)
Lineage: Eukaryota; Metazoa; Chordata; Mammalia; Artiodactyla; Bovidae
Description: long non-coding RNA NONBTAT026854
Source: RNAcentral
UCUGGUUUGAAUAGUAUGACCAGUUUUGAUGUUUAUUUAAAUACUGACAUUUUGCUAAACAACUUUAUUAUAAUUUCAUAAGAUAAUAUUUGCAACCUCAUGACACUGUAACAGUUUUGAAUGUAUUUGCAAUUUUCAAAAACUGAGUCAAAAUUGUUUUGAAUGAACAUAUUUUAAUAAACUACAUCUGGUCAGUUCCACUGUUU